Molecule: ribosomal RNA, 323 nt
Filed under: uncultured eukaryote
Lineage: Eukaryota
Description: partial 18S ribosomal RNA
Rfam family: Eukaryotic small subunit ribosomal RNA
Source: RNAcentral
CCCUUAGAUGUUCUUGGCUGCACGCGUGCUACACUGAUAUUGCCAAUAUGUCAUUCUUAUCCGAAAUGGAUUGGGUAAUCAAGUAAUGAAAUUUCAUGCUUGGAAUCGGUAAUUGCAAUUUUAUCGUGAACGAGGAAUUCCUAGUAAGCACUAGUCAUCAGCUAAUGUUGAUUAUGUCCCUGCCCUUUGUACACACCGCCCGUCGCUACUACUGAUUGGGUGUUCAAGUGAGAUGCUUAGACCCUUGUUGCAUGGUUCAUUAUUGUGCUCCGAAAGGAAAAAGUUUCAAGCUUGAGUGUCUAGAGGAAGUAAAAGUCGUAACA